CAGUAGCCACGGGAAUACGUAGGUGGCGAGCGUUGUCCGGAAUUAUUGGGCGUAAAGGGAGCGCAGGCGGACAUAUAAGUCCAUCUUAAAAGUGCGGGGCUCAACCCCGUGAGGGGAUGGAAACUGUAUGCCUUGAGUGCAGGAGAGGAAAGCGGAAUUCCCAGUGUAGCGGUGAAAUGCGUAGAUAUUGGGAGGAACACCAGUGGUGAAGGCGGCUUUCUGGACUGUAACUGACGCUGAGACUCGAAAGCCAGGGGAGCGAACGGGAUUAGAUACCCCAGUAGUCCCUGUCUCUUAUACA
Molecule: ribosomal RNA, 301 nt
Filed under: uncultured bacterium
Lineage: Bacteria
Description: partial 16S ribosomal RNA
Rfam family: Bacterial small subunit ribosomal RNA
Source: RNAcentral